AGCUUGCUCCUUUGAAGUUAGCGGCGGACGGGUGAGUAACACGUGGGUAACCUACCUAUAAGACUGGAAUAACUCCGGGAAACCGGGGCUAAUGCCGGAUAACAUGUUGAACCGCAUGGUUCAACAGUGAAAGACGGUCUUGCUGUCACUUAUAGAUGGACCCGCGCCGUAUUAGCUAGUUGGUGGGGUAACGGCCUACCAAGGCGACGAUACGUAGCCGACCUGAGAGGGUGAUCGGCCACACUGGAACUGAGACACGGUCCAGACUCCUACGGGAGGCAGCAGUAGGGAAUCUUCCGCAAUGGGCGAAAGCCUGACGGAGCAACGCCGCGUGAGUGAUGAAGGUCUUCGGAUCGUAAAGCUCUGUUGUUAGGGAAGAACAAAUGUGUAAGUAACUGUGCACGUCUUGACGGUACCUAACCAGAAAGCCACGGCUAACUACGUGCCAGCAGCCGCGGUAAUACGUAGGUGGCAAGCGUUAUCCGGAAUUAUUGGGCGUAAAGCGCGCGUAGGCGGUUUUUUAAGUCUGAUGUGAAAGCCCACGGCUCAACCGUGGAGGGUCAUUGGAAACUGGAAAACUUGAGUGCAGAAGAGGAAAGUGGAAUUCCAUGUGUAGCGGUGAAAUGCGCAGAGAUAUGGAGGAACACCAGUGGCGAAGGCGGCUUUCUGGUCUGCAACUGACGCUGAUGUGCGAAAGCGUGGGGAUCAAACAGGAUUAGAUACCCUGGUAGUCCACGCCCGUAACGAUGAGUGCUAAGUGUUAGGGGGUUUCCGCCCCUUAGUGCUGCAGCUAACGCAUUAAGCACUCCGCCUGGGGAGUACGGUC
RNAcentral lists this ribosomal RNA (826 nucleotides) under Staphylococcus sp. HFH0024. RNAcentral's name for it is "bacterial SSU rRNA". It matches the Rfam family "Bacterial small subunit ribosomal RNA", at positions 77 to 887 of the family's 1533-position model. The record is from RNAcentral. Lineage: Bacteria; Bacillati; Bacillota; Bacilli; Caryophanales; Staphylococcaceae.